This 1346-nucleotide ribosomal RNA is filed under the name uncultured bacterium. RNAcentral's name for it is "partial 16S ribosomal RNA". It matches the Rfam family "Bacterial small subunit ribosomal RNA", at positions 28 to 1381 of the family's 1533-position model. The record is from RNAcentral.
GACGAACGUUGGCGGCGUGCUUAACACAUGCAAGCCGAACGGAAAGGCCCUGCUUUUGUGGGGUGCUCGAGUGGCGAACGGGUGAGUAACACGUGAGUAACCUGCCCUUGACUUUGGGAUAACUUCAGGAAACUGGGGCUAAUACCGGAUAGGAGCUCCUGCUGCAUGGUGGGGGUUGGAAAGUUUCGGCGGUUGGGGAUGGACUCGCGGCUUAUCAGCUUGUUGGUGGGGUAGUGGCUUACCAAGGCUUUGACGGGUAGCCGGCCUGAGAGGGUGACCGGCCACAUUGGGACUGAGAUACGGCCCAGACUCCUACGGGAGGCAGCAGUGGGGAAUAUUGCACAAUGGGCGGAAGCCUGAUGCAGCAACGCCGCGUGCGGGAUGACGGCCUUCGGGUUGUAAACCGCUUUCGCCUGUGACGAAGCGUGAGUGACGGUAAUGGGUAAAGAAGCACCGGCUAACUACGUGCCAGCAGCCGCGGUGAUACGUAGGGUGCGAGCGUUGUCCGGAUUUAUUGGGCGUAAAGGGCUCGUAGGUGGUUGAUCGCGUCGGAAGUGUAAUCUUGGGGCUUAACCCUGAGCGUGCUUUCGAUACGGGUUGACUUGAGGAAGGUAGGGGAGAAUGGAAUUCCUGGUGGAGCGGUGGAAUGCGCAGAUAUCAGGAGGAACACCAGUGGCGAAGGCGGUUCUCUGGGCCUUUCCUGACGCUGAGGAGCGAAAGCGUGGGGAGCGAACAGGCUUAGAUACCCUGGUAGUCCACGCUGUAAACGGUGGGUACUAGGUGUGGGGUCCAUUCCACGGGUUCCGUGCCGUAGCUAACGCUUUAAGUACCCCGCCUGGGGAGUACGGCCGCAAGGCUAAAACUCAAAGGAAUUGACGGGGCCCCGCACAAGCGGCGGAGCAUGCGGAUUAAUUCGAUGCAACGCGUAGAACCUUACCUGGGUUUGACAUGGAUCGGGAGUGCUCAGAGAUGGGUGUGCCUCUUUUGGGGUCGGUUCACAGGUGGUGCAUGGCUGUCGUCAGCUCGUGUCGUGAGAUGUUGGGUUAAGUCCCGCAACGAGCGCAACCCUUGUUCACUGUUGCCAGCACGUUAUGGUGGGGACUCAGUGGAGACCGCCGGGGUCAACUCGGAGGAAGGUGGGGAUGACGUCAAGUCAUCAUGCCCCUUAUGUCCAGGGCUUCACGCAUGCUACAAUGGCUGGUACAGAGAGUGGCGAGCCUGUGAGGGUGAGCGAAUCUCGGAAAGCCGGUCUCAGUUCGGAUUGGGGUCAGCAACUCGACCUCAUGAAGUCGGAGUCGCUAGUAAUCGCAGAUCAGCAACGCUGCGGUGAAUACGUUCCCGGGGCU